Molecule: ribosomal RNA, 253 nt
Filed under: uncultured bacterium
Lineage: Bacteria
Description: partial 16S ribosomal RNA
Rfam family: Bacterial small subunit ribosomal RNA
Source: RNAcentral
UACGGAGGGGGCUAGCGUUGUUCGGAAUUACUGGGCGUAAAGCGCACGUAGGCGGCUUUGUAAGUUAGAGGUGAAAGCCCGGGGCUCAACUCCGGAAUUGCCUUUAAGACUGCAUCGCUAGAAUUGUGGAGAGGUGAGUGGAAUUCCGAGUGUAGAGGUGAAAUUCGUAGAUAUUCGGAAGAACACCAGUGGCGAAGGCGACUUACUGGACACAUAUUGACGCUGAGGUGCGAAAGCGUGGGGAGCAAACAGG